AUUGAACGCUGGCGACAUGCCUUACACAUGCAAGUCGAACGGUAACAGGUCUUCGGAUGCUGACGAGUGGCGAACGGGUGAGUAAUACAUCGGAACGUGCCUAGUAGUGGGGGAUAACUACUCGAAAGAGUGGCUAAUACCGCAUGAGAUCUACGGAUGAAAGCAGGGGAUCGCGAGACCUCGUGCUACUAGAGCGGCCGAUGGCAGAUUAGGUAGGUGGUAGGUUAAAAGCUUACCAAGCCGACGAUCUGUAGCUGGUCGGAGAGCACGAUCGACUACACUGGUGCUGUGCGACGGCCAAGACUCCUACGGGAGUCGUCAGUGGGGGAUUGUUGACAAUGUGCGAAAGCCUGAUCCAGCAAUGCCGCGUGCAGGAUGAAGGCCUUCGGGUUGUAAACUGCUUUUGGACGGAACGAAAAGCCCCGGGUUAAUACCCUGUGGUCAUGACGGUACCGUAAGAAUAAGCACCGGCUAACUACGUGCCAGCCGCCGCAGUAA
This 498-nucleotide ribosomal RNA is filed under the name uncultured bacterium. RNAcentral describes it as "partial 16S ribosomal RNA". It matches the Rfam family "Bacterial small subunit ribosomal RNA", at positions 30 to 523 of the family's 1533-position model. The record is from RNAcentral.